Molecule: non-coding RNA, 30 nt
Filed under: Mus musculus (house mouse)
Lineage: Eukaryota; Metazoa; Chordata; Mammalia; Rodentia; Muridae
Source: RNAcentral
UCUCAGGACCUCCAUUGGAUUGGAACUGGG